GGAAAAGUUCCACGGUUCAGGGGGAGAGACAAGGGACCCAGUGCAGAGGAAGGGCUAGGGCUCUGGGGGUCGUGGACCACCCUGGCGCGCGCUCAGGGCUCCGCGGGUUUCUGGUAGAAGAGCGGAGUGAGGGAUUGAACCCUCAACCUUGGUGAGUUGGGAUGACACGCUAACCAACUGACCCACCCAGCCAGGGCCACUGUUUUUCUUAUCCCCACACCAAACCUAAACCCAAAGGUGUGUUGUGUUGGAAUAGAAGCAGAAAAUAACUGUGGAAUCAGAGGAAGCCGAGGACAUCACUUGAAAAAGGAGUGGAAGGAUUUCAAUCUGGAACAAAAUAUUGCCAAAAUUAUAAGGAUGAUGCAGAGAAAAGCGUAGGACUGAUUUGUAAAUGGAAUCAGCCGGAGUCAUUUCCACUGCAGUGGAAAGCUGGCCUCGAAGGCUUUUUCACCACUGGCUUCCUGAAGCUUUUAAGUUCAAAAAAGAACCCUAACCUAUCUAAGCCCUGGAAAUACAGUGGAGUCCAGACAGACGGGGUCCCUUGUGGAGGUUUACAUCCAACUUGGGAGAAGACAGGCAACAAAGAUGACUGCACUGAGAAUGAACGAAAUAAUUUCACAUGGCGAUAAGUGAGUGACCUGAAGAAGCCAAACAGGCUACAGGAACAGAGAGGGCUGGCCGAGGUGCAGUCGUGGGAGCUGCCUCAGGUGGAGAGAUCACUGGUGGCUGCUCUGAAGAGAUAACAUUUGAGCUGAGACUAAUGAGGAGGAAAAGCCGGCCAUGCAAAGCUCUGGGCCAAGAACACUCUAAGGCAAAAUCUAGUUUCAUUUUGGAGAUUCAACAUACAGGAGGCCAGAAGAAGGGGAGAGAACGGGAGGUGACAUCUGAGGGAGGCAGGAGCCAGAUCCUGGGUGCUGUGCCACCUGAGGGUGUAUCUUCUUCUAACUGCACUGGGAAGGUUUGGGGUGGUUAGGCCUUCAUAAGAAUGAGUUUGUAUGUUCAAUUUGGUGGUAUUUUAGGGGUCAACCUAGAAAUUUUCCUGUGUUUUAAAAUAAUGUUUUUGUCACACUUGAGUAUUUAUUUUUAAAGUUUGUAGCUUCUGCAUGGAAAGGAUUAAACCUGAGGAAGAGAACCAACGUGACCUGAAACCCCAUUGAUAGCAUCUCUCAGAAAUGUAAAUGACUCCUGUUCAUCUUCCCCCGUGACUCCUCAUUAGAGAGACUGCCUGAUGGUAGCAGAUGCACAAGGGCUAGAAAGGGAGGUGGUAAGAGAAGUUUUGCCACAGCACAUGUUAUUUUAAUUUUCAUGAUUUUUUCUAUUUUUUCUCAAUGAACAAGCAUACAUGAUGUUUGAUGAUCAGGAAAAAGAUAUAGUUUCACUUUUUCCUAACUUACUAUGUCGGAAAAUCCAAACUUAUAGAAAAGCUGUUAAAAUAACACUACGUGAACUCUAUCCUUCACUUAAAUUCACCAUUUGUUAACAUGGUCCACAUCUGCUUCUGUCUCACACACAGUGUGUUCAGUACAUAGUAUGUUGUUUUUGCUCAAGCAUUUAUACGCAAACAUUUAUACUCUUUUGGUUCAAACACUUAACAGUAAUUUGCAGAUAUGAUGAUGCUUCACCCCUACAUACUUCAGCAAGUAUCCCGAGAACCAAGACAUUCUCCUAUGUAUCCACUGUCUUAACUUGUGCUGCUGUACCAGAAUGCCACAGACCGUGUGGUUUGUAAACAAAAGAAGCUUAUUUCUCACAGUUUUGGAGGAUAGAGGUCUGAGAUCAGGUCCUGGUGAGAGCCCUCUUCUGAGGUACCGAUAGCAGUUUUCUCCUGUGGAGGAGGGGACGAGAGAGCUCUCUGGGCUCUUUUACUAGUGCACUAGUCCCAUUCAUAGAAGCCCCCCUCACCAUGACCUGAUCACCUCCUCAAAGGUGCCCACCUCCUAACAUCACUGCAUUGGGGGUAAGGAUUUCAACAUGUGAGUUGCGGGAGGGGGCACAAACAUUCAGUCCAUACUAACCACCACAACGUUAACAUACCCUCCCAAAAUGAUGAGCAAUAUAAAUUUUAUGUAAUACAUAGCACAUAUUCACACUGCACCAAUUGUCCUAAAAAUGCCUUUUAUGGUUUGCUGUGUUUUUGAAUCCAGAAGCCAGUCAUGGAUCAUUCUUUGCAUUUCAUUGGCAUGUCUCUUUAGUGUCCUUAAUUCUUGAACAGUCCCAUUGCCAUUUUUGAAAAGGAUCUGGUCCAGUUGUCCUGUUGAGUGUCCCACGGUCUGGAUUUGCAUGCCCCUACUCCCACAAUUACAUUUAGAGGAAACACUGUUGGCAAGAAUGCUACAUAAGUGAUGUCAUGGACUUCAUCCUGUAUCACGUCAGGAGGCUGAUACUACAGAUCAAGUUGUCCUGGGAGGAGGGAUGCUAAGUUUGAACCAGAUGGUACCCUCCAGAUGUCCCUUGUCCCUCUAUAAUUAAUCACUAUCCCAUGGGGUGGUACUUCAGUUCUGUGUGAUCAUUUUAUUCCCCAACAACCGUUCAUCUCAUGAAAGCUUUUCGUGUCCAUUGCUGAUUUUUGCCUGACUCGAAUAUUGCAUCUGUUGGUACAUAACAAUUUUUUCAAACACUAUUAAAUAUUAGUAUCAACACUAUCUAGUACUAUCAAGAAAAAAACAA
This is a long non-coding RNA of Phyllostomus hastatus (greater spear-nosed bat), 2667 nucleotides long. RefSeq lists it as uncharacterized. The transcript is spliced from 4 exons. Lineage: Eukaryota; Metazoa; Chordata; Mammalia; Chiroptera; Phyllostomidae. The record is from RefSeq and is a predicted model, not a curated record.